Molecule: ribosomal RNA, 450 nt
Filed under: uncultured organism
Description: bacterial SSU rRNA
Rfam family: Bacterial small subunit ribosomal RNA
Source: RNAcentral
UGCAGUCGUACGAGAGUUUUUACUCAAGUGGCGGACGGGUGAGUAACACGUAAGAAUUUGCCUUUAGGAGGGGGACAACAACUGGAAACGGUUGCUAAUACCCCAUAUGCUUUCGAGUGAAAUGGAUUUUUCCGCCUAGAGAGAAGCUUGCGGCUGAUUAGCUUGUUGGUGAGGUAAGGGCUCACCAAGGCGACGAUCAGUAUCUGGUUUGAGAGGACGAUCAGACACACUGGAACUGAGACACGGUCCAGACUCCUACGGGAGGCAGCAGUGGGGAAUAUUGCACAAUGGGCGCAAGCCUGAUGCAGCAAUGCCGCGUGUGUGAAGAAGGCCUGCGGGUUGUAAAGCACUUUUAUUAGGAAAGAAAAACCCGGAAUUAAUACUUCCGGCAUUGACGGUACCUAAAGAAUAAGCACCGGCUAACUCAGUGCCAGCAGCCGCGGUAAUACG